RNAcentral lists this ribosomal RNA (786 nucleotides) under uncultured bacterium. Its description in RNAcentral is "bacterial SSU rRNA". It matches the Rfam family "Bacterial small subunit ribosomal RNA", at positions 8 to 796 of the family's 1533-position model. The record is from RNAcentral.
AGAGUUUGAUCCUGGCUCAGGAUUAACGCUGGCGGCGUGCCUAACACAUGCAAGUCGAACGGACGAACUUUGUGGACAUUCCAUGGUAAAACGUGGGUUGUCCCUCAUAGUUCGUUAGUGGCGGACGGGUGAGUAACACGUUGGUACCUACCCCGAAGUGGGGAAUAACUGGCCGAAAGGUCAGCUAAUACCGCAUAAUAUCGCAAGAUUAAAGCAGUAAUGCGCUUCGGGAGGGGCCUGCGUCUGAUUAGCUAGUUGGUAGUGUAAUGGACUACCAAGGCGACGAUCAGUAGCUGGAUCGAGAGGUUGACCGGCCACACUGGGACUGAGAUACGGCCCAGACUCCUACGGGAGGCAGCAGUGAGGAAUCUUCCACAAUGGACGAAAGUCUGAUGGAGCAACGCCGCGUGCAGGAUGACGGCCUUCGGGUUGUAAACUGCUUUUAUUUGGGAAGAUUAUGACGGUACCAAAUGAAUAAGGACCGGCUAACUACGUGCCAGCAGCCGCGGUAAUACGUAGGGUCCAAGCGUUAUCCGGAAUCACUGGGCGUAAAGCGUGUGUAGGCGGAAAUUUGCGUGUAAUGCGAAAUCCGGUGGCUCAACCACCUGGACUGUAUUGCAUACGGGAUUUCUGGAGGUCGGCAGAGGCAAGUGGAAUUACUAGUGUAGCAGUGAAAUGCGUAGAGAUUAGUAGGAACACCAAUGGCGAAGGCAGCUUGCUGGGCCGCACCUGACGCUGAGACACGAAAGCGUGGGGAGCGAACAGGAUUAGAUACCCCGGUAGUCC